ACCACGUACCUAUAGUCCCAGCUACUUGGGAGGCUGAGGCAGGAGGACCGCUUGAGCCCAGGAGUUCUGAACUGUUGAACAGGAUGCCGAAGGGGUGUCUGCACUAAGUUCAGCCUCACUGUAGUGGCUCCAAGGUUGCCUAGGGAGGGGUGAAUCAGCCCAGAUCAAAAGUGGAAUAGGCCAAAACUCCUAUGCUGAUUAGUACUGGGAGUGCAUAACCACUGCACUCUAGACUGGGCAACAUAGCCAAACCCCCCUCU
This is an unclassified non-coding RNA of Cebus imitator (Panamanian white-faced capuchin), 260 nucleotides long. It matches the Rfam family "Metazoan signal recognition particle RNA". Rfam says of the family: The signal recognition particle (SRP) is a universally conserved ribonucleoprotein. It is involved in the co-translational targeting of proteins to membranes. The record is from Ensembl. Lineage: Eukaryota; Metazoa; Chordata; Mammalia; Primates; Cebidae.